AGCGAACGCUGGCGGCAGGCCUAACACAUGCAAGUCGAACGGAUCCUUCGGGAUUAGUGGCGGACGGGUGAGUAACACGUGGGAACGUGCCUUUUGGUUCGGAACAACGCAGAGAAAUUUGCGCUAAUACCGAAUGUGCCCUUCGGGGAAAGAUUUAUCGCCAUUAGAGCGGCCCGCGUCUGAUUAGCUAGUUGGUGAGGUAAAGGCUCACCAAGGCUACGAUCAGUAGCUGGUCUGAGAGGAUGAUCAGCCACAUUGGGACUGAGACACGGCCCAAACUCCUACGGGAGGCAGCAGUGGGGAAUCUUGCGCAAUGGGCGAAAGCCUGACGCAGCCAUGCCGCGUGAAUGAUGAAGGUCUUAGGAUUGUAAAAUUCUUUCACCGGGGACGAUAAUGACGGUACCCGGAGAAGAAGCCCCGGCUAACUUCGUGCCAG
Molecule: ribosomal RNA, 436 nt
Filed under: uncultured bacterium
Lineage: Bacteria
Description: bacterial SSU rRNA
Rfam family: Bacterial small subunit ribosomal RNA
Source: RNAcentral